UCGAUGUGCACUUUCAAUACCAUACAGUCAGGUCCGUGAUAAUCAGGGUCCUUUUUUGAAAUUCCCAAAGCAUUCAUAAGUGCAUGAAAAAUUUUCACAUAUGACUUAAUGUCUUGUAGAACCUUCCAGUCACGAUAGGUUUUACCUGCCAAAUUAGAUACCGUCAAGGUAUGGCUUCUGAAUUGUAGCAUGCCUAGCAUCCAGUGAGCCUUGUUUGUGGGAAAAAUUGGCAUGAAACAUAGUCAACAUCGGCCCAAGGUUUGCUUAAAGGUAAGUUGUGACCUGUUACCACCUCAACAAGGCUCAACUCCGACAUCAAAACAUGGGGAUCCUUCAUGAAAGCAGGGUAUAUGUCUUUUAUUUUAUUUUGGAACC
RNAcentral lists this long non-coding RNA (375 nucleotides) under Olea europaea (common olive). RNAcentral's name for it is "long non-coding RNA (OEUR_LNC008143)". Lineage: Eukaryota; Viridiplantae; Streptophyta; Magnoliopsida; Lamiales; Oleaceae. The record is from RNAcentral.